Herpailurus yagouaroundi (jaguarundi) is the source of this 1586-nucleotide long non-coding RNA. RefSeq lists it as uncharacterized. The record is from RefSeq and is a predicted model, not a curated record. The transcript has 2 exons. NCBI's taxonomy places the organism in Eukaryota, Metazoa, Chordata, Mammalia, Carnivora, Felidae.
AGCUGCUGUUUGUCCAAAGAGAGGCGGCUGGCAGGCCACUGCAUAGUCUGGGUAACUCCUCUCUGAAAACAGGAGGCUGAACCACCUAGGAGAAUACAGUAGGAUUGCAGGCACUGCUAAAAGUCCACUGAAGGACUGUGGUCCCUAUUUCAAGAUGGGACCAGUCAGCACAGUUGUUUUUCUGUAGCUUCCUGGGUACAAGUGCAGAGUCAGAGGAAUUGAACUUAACCAGUUAGUUUUGAUAAGCAGUGUUCAAGCUGGGAGGUACUAGAGAACACGAGAAUUAAGUAACAAGCGACUGGUGAGAAUGAGUGAGAAACUCCAGGGAAACACAGCCCCACGAAAUCUGCAGGUUAGUAGUGGCUGCAACCCCCCUGGAGGCUCUGCUCAUGUCUUCGGGAAGCACAGAGGAUGACACUUCUUUGAGACAAGAAGACAAAUCCGCAAUGUAACCUGAGACUGCAAGACCCUGAGAAUGCCGAAGCAGGAAGAGUGAUCGAGACUGACAAGAGCAUGACCAUGGUGAUCUCUCAGGAAGCAAAAUCAUUCCGUACAUGCAUAAGAAAUUCUGUCCAGAAACUGAACACUUCAGUGCUGGUGAACUUACGAUGAAGUCAACUAAAUGAAGAGCUAAACUUAUAAUCUUAGUUGUCAUUUGGCUCUUGUUUUAUCAAAAUGUAAUUCUAAUAAAAUCAAAAUAAGGGUAUUCUUUUACUUCCUGAGUCUAAGAAAGGCAGGACCCGCUGCAAAUGUCUGUGAAUGUUGUAUUAGACCAUAUACUUUCUUUAAUAAAGCAAACAGUUUAGAGUAAAUGACUCACAUACUAUUCUGGGAGCAGUGCUCUAGGAAGGCUGUGAAGGGACUGCUUUCUGCUCAUGCACAGGGAAAAGGGAGUCUUAUUCACUGUAGCCCUCGUGUCUUGUAUGUGGCAUGAUACCUAGCACUUAAAAGGAGUCCAACUCAUGGCUGUGAACUGAGAGUAAUAACAGCUCACACUGAGCUUGCUAUAUUCCAGUACUGCACAAACAGCAACUCAUCGAAUUCUCACAGUAGCCCUAAGUGGUAAAUACUGCUAUUAUUCCCAUUUUUAUAGCUGAGGAAACUGAAGAACAGAGAGGUUACACAACUUGGUGUAGGUGGAGCCAGACUGCAAAUGAAGGUAGACUGACUACCGGUACACUGCCUUACGACGGCCCUCUCGAUGCAAGAGUAAGAUUAGGAGGGGGAAGACUGGACCAGCAAGGACCAGGCUCUUAGCUUGCAGGAGCAGGGGGAGUCCAAAAUAAAAGGAUGGGCAAGAUGAAAUUCUUUUUAACUCUGUCUCAGAUAUAGCAAUGUCUGUGAAAAGAUAAAUUUGAUGUUUAAGUCAUCUUUAUACGAUUAAACAAAUCCGUAACUAUUAAAGUAUAAAUUUUCAUAUUUAUUUUACAUAAAUGUCUAGAAUUAAUCCAGGUAUGCAUAUUACUUUGGGGAUAUACUGCCGUAGAUGUUAAUCACAUAGAUGUGAUUUCAUGUUAAAAGGUUGGGGAAAUGCUUCGUACACAAAUAAACAUGUUGUGUUAGUUUGUUAAAAAAAAAAAAAGUAA